GUUCUUUGUUAAGAAGCUAAAUCAGGGGUGUCCGCCGACCGGAUGCGAUCGGAGGCUUACCCGUUUAAUUGAGAGUUCUGGUCGGGGAAGCAACCCGACAGGUCACUAGGUGUUUUUCAAACCCCCCGAGUGUGCGGGAAGCUUUCCGGAAAUUAGAUUUUUGCCAACGCAAAGGCGAGCGCACGGGAGGCCACAUUUCGCCCCCCCCCCGAAAGAAUAGUUAAAUUUUUUGGAGGGGGGGAAAGAUGCGUGGCACCCGGCACACCCCCCCCCCCCCAAAAGGGUUGGGGGGCAACUUGUGUUUAAAGACUCGCAUGGUCUCGGGAUUUUGCAAAUUACACCACAUAUUGCGAAUCUUUAAGUAAAAAGUCGUAACAAGGUUUCCGUAGGUGAACCUGCGGAAGGAUCAUUG
Molecule: ribosomal RNA, 412 nt
Filed under: Mangifera indica (mango)
Lineage: Eukaryota; Viridiplantae; Streptophyta; Magnoliopsida; Sapindales; Anacardiaceae
Description: partial 18S ribosomal RNA
Source: RNAcentral